This 91-nucleotide small nucleolar RNA is filed under the name Prunus dulcis (almond). The record is from RNAcentral. RNAcentral also lists the same sequence under 1 other name. Lineage: Eukaryota; Viridiplantae; Streptophyta; Magnoliopsida; Rosales; Rosaceae.
GAGCAUAUGAUGAGAAAAAAUUUGGAAUUGACGACUGAUUGGCGAAAGCCAUGAAGCUUCCAAAAUUCGAGCUUUUUAAAACUGAUGCUCA